CGUUGGGCGAACCUGCCUCAUACAGAGGGAUAAUCAUGUGAAAACGUGACUAAUACCGCAUGUCGUUUCGGGAGGGCAUCCUCCUGAAAGAAAAGGAGCAAUCCGGUAUGAGAUGGGCCCGCAUCUGAUUAGCUAGUUGGUGAGAUAACAGCCCACCAAGGCGACGAUCAGUAGCCGACCUGAGAGGGUGAUCGGCCACAUUGGGACUGAGACACGGCCCAA
Molecule: ribosomal RNA, 222 nt
Filed under: uncultured bacterium
Lineage: Bacteria
Description: partial 16S ribosomal RNA
Rfam family: Bacterial small subunit ribosomal RNA
Source: RNAcentral